UACGUAGGGGGCAAGCGUUGUCCGGAUUUAUUGGGCGUAAAGAGCGUGUAGGCGGCUAGGUAGGUCCGUUGUGAAAACUCGAGGCUCAACCUCGAGACGUCGAUGGAAACCAUCUAGCUAGAGUCCGGAAGAGGAGAGUGGAAUUCCUGGUGUAGCGGUGAAAUGCGCAGAUAUCAGGAAGAACACCUAUGGCGAAGGCAGCUCUCUGGGACGGUACUGACGCUGAGACGCGAAAGCGUGGGGAGCAAACAGG
This 253-nucleotide ribosomal RNA is filed under the name uncultured bacterium. RNAcentral describes it as "partial 16S ribosomal RNA". It matches the Rfam family "Bacterial small subunit ribosomal RNA", at positions 524 to 776 of the family's 1533-position model. The record is from RNAcentral.